Non-coding RNA from Procambarus clarkii (red swamp crayfish), 2933 nucleotides. The record is from RefSeq and is a predicted model, not a curated record. Lineage: Eukaryota; Metazoa; Arthropoda; Malacostraca; Decapoda; Cambaridae.
GCGACAAACAGUCGUGCAACACCAGCUGUGUUGUAUACUCGCUGCUCUGGUGUUACCUCCUCUCUCACGCAGUGUUCGGAGACCUAGUCACGCAGUGUUUGGAGACCUAGUCACGCAGUGUUUGGAGACCUAGUCACGCAGUGUUCGGAGACCUAGUCACGCAGUGUUCGGAGACCUAGUCACGCAGUGUUCGGAGACCUAGUCACGCAGUGUUCGGAGACCUAGUCACGCAAUGUUCGGGGACCUAGUCACGCAGUGUUCGGAGACCUUAUUACACUGUGUUAGGAUCUCCUGUCACUUAAUGUGUGAAUCCUGCAGCAGUGAGUUUUCCAGCCCUCCUCGACAGUGACUUCCCUGCUCCUGUAUCGGCCUCCCUUGCACCACAGUGGUGCUGAUAACCUCGUGUCGUUCCCUUCUCAUAUCCAGAACGACUAUGCAGUUCUCCAUUCAACUUUCUUUGGAGGUUUCUACAGCUUCAGAAUCAACUUGUUAGGAACAAAUGCAUGGCUUUCCAGCACAAAUUGGGAAAUCUACAUUAUCUUGAAACAACGGAAGUGUGGACGGUCUUGGGUUAAGGACCAGGUCGUGACCUGCAACGACCAGGUCGUGACCUUCAACGACCAGGUCGUGACCUUCAACGACCAGGUCUGCGUAAGAAAUCAAGAUAUUUCAACUCCGUCGGAAUGACUGCAAAGCCUCCCGCCACACCCAUCACCACCACCACCACCACCACCACCACCACCACCACCACCACCGAACCCACCACCACCACCGAACCCACCACCACCACCACCACCACCCAAACAACCACUACUACCCAACCCACUCCCGAUACUGACUCAGCCAUGAACAUAGGCAUCGGCGUUGGCUUCGGGUUCUUGCUUGUACUGCUCCUGUGCGCCGUCGUGUACGCCUUCUACCUGCGUCGCCGGCUGAAACACCCGACCACCAGCACCACCACAGAGGAUCCCGAGGGCCCAGGGAAGGAUCCCGAGGGCCCAGGGAAGGAUCAGGAGCCUGCCGCUCCUCCUAAGUCCAAAAUCUUAGAGCUGGCUCGCUUAAUACAGACACAUCCGCAGCGGAACGUACCCGACUCAGUCGGGUUAAUUAAAUUGAAUCCAGUACAUUCCGCUUCCAAUAACGACGGUCCUUACUCCUACGUUGACUUGGAAUAUAUAAGUAGGACCCUAGAGAGAAAGGGAGAGUCAGGGAGCAAUGUUCCUAAUGAUAAUAUGGCAAAAUUCUUGUGCCCAGAACUUGGAGAUCACGUUUAUUUAAAUAUCGGAAACGUCUUAACAGAACCUACAAGCAUACAGGAACCAGUGUAUGAAAAUAUUAGUGUAACAGAAUACGCCAAUUAUCCUGUUUGCGAUGGAAGUUCCGGUGGGGGUACAAGCGUUCAGAAAUCGUCGAGGUCAACAACGCCUGUAGGUGAAGUGAGACCGGGUCAAAGGUCACUCGACCGCGACAAUCAGAACCCACCGACCCCCGAACACAUCUACGAGGAGGUCACUGAUCUAGGGUAACUGAUAAGAAGUGAUCGAAGGAAUGACCAUUGUGGGAGGAGAUGAAACUGGAGAUGGUCUAAUAUGUGAAUAAAAAAGAUGCACUUGAUGCGAAAAUAGUACAUAAAAACCGAUGAGUCUUUGUCUGAAACUUGAUAUGUGACGCUAAGCAUGCUGAAGCCUACCCCGUCUGUGCCCUGGGCAAGAUUGACAGGGCACAGGUCUGUGCCCUGGGCAUGAUUGGCAGGGGCACAGGUCUAUGCCCCUGCCAUGAUUAAUGUCCAGUCCGUUCUUCCUCUUCAAAAACACACACAUUUACGAGCUGCUUAAAAACAAAUUGUGUAGCCGCAAAAUGAGAGACAAGAGUGCUUUAGUCUGCUAUAUAGAGCUCAAAACUCGGAGCUCCUGAGAGCAAGAGUCUUGGGAUAAAGAGUAGAGGAGAGAAAGAUAUGCAAGUUUAAGGUGGAAGACUGACGAGAUAAGAUAAGGUAAUUAGCAGGAGAAAGCGCUGGAUCUGUAUGGCUGCGUACCUCUGAAUAAACAGACAAGGCGCUGGGAUACGAGGACAAAGAACUGGGAUACGAGGACAAGAAGCUGGGAUAUAAAAGAGCAAUAGGUGCCUAAUCAAUGGUGAAAGUGCUUCAGCGGCAACCUGUCCUCAGGCCAGGAUCGUUAAAGUCGCGGCUGCCCGCCAAGACACGUUUCAACAGACUGUGUAUUAAAAAUAGGUUUGUUCUCAUUUAUACAUUGAUAUUAUUAUAUAUUUAAGUUGUGUGUAUAGCUAGGCGUAGGUUAGGUUAGGUGUUUAGAUUCUGUUGGCGAUUAUUUGCAUUUGCAGUACGUGGGGUGAAGCAUUUACGGAGUUACGAUUCGAACAGAGGUCGUCAGCGAAGCACUGUUCGAGAAAUGUUCGAACGUUAUCAGUUGGGAGUCGUGUGAAAACGAUUUUUCAUUCAUAAACAUGGGGUUUGUCGGCUGGAUUAAUGAGUAUUUGAUCUUUGUUGAUGAGGACGGGCUGUCAUCAAAUAUAAGAGUUCGGAGGACAAAGUCAAGUGAGGCUUUUGGAGAGUCGAAGCAACUGAGACAAGUAAAACUGUACGCUAUCCAUGACCAUCACCGGGUCGAGGACCGGGCCGCGGGGACGCUAAGCCCCGAAUUCAUCUCAAGAUAGAUCACUCCUCAACUACGCUUUCGCUUAUAAGGACUUCAUCAUCUAACUCCUUCUUGCAAGGUUGAUCUUGCUAUUUUAGAAUUGCUUCACGUUUGAAUUGCUGAGUAGAAUAACUCAGUAACCUCGACCCGGAUUCACAAAGCAGUUACGCAAGUACUUACGAAAGUGUACAUCUUUCCUCAAUCUUUGACGGCUUUGGUUACAUUUAUUAAACAGUUUACAAGCAUGAAAACUUCCCAAUCAACUGUUGUUAUUAU